Molecule: ribosomal RNA, 329 nt
Filed under: uncultured eukaryote
Lineage: Eukaryota
Description: partial 18S ribosomal RNA
Rfam family: Eukaryotic small subunit ribosomal RNA
Source: RNAcentral
CCCUUAGAUGUUCUGGGCCGCACGCGCGCUACACUGACGAUGGCAACGAGUUUUUCCUUCGCCGAAAGGUGUGGGUAAUCUUUUGAAACAUCGUCGUGCUGGGGAUAGAUCAUUGCAAUUUUUGAUCUUGAACGAGGAAUUCCUAGUAAGCGCGAGUCAUCAGCUCGCGUUGAUUACGUCCCUGCCCUUUGUACACACCGCCCGUCGCUACUACCGAUUGAAUGGUUUAGUGAGGACUCCUGAUUGGCGCCGCCGCCCCGGCAACGGAGCAGCGGACUGCCGAAAAGUUGUUCAAACUUGAUCAUUUAGAGGAAGGAAAAGUCGUAACA